AAUAUUUGACAAUGGGGGCAACUCUGAUCCAGCCAUGCCGCGUGCGUGACGAAGCACUUCGGAUUGUAAAGCACCUUAAGUUGGGAGGAAGGGCUUUAGGCCAAUACGCUGAAGCUUCUACGUUACCAACAGUAUACGCACCGGCUAGCUCUGUGCCAGCAGCCGCCGUAAUACAGAGGGGGCAAGCGUUAAUCGGAAUUACCGGGCGUAAAGCGGGCGUAGGUGGGUCAGGAAGAGAGGUGUGAAAUUCCCGGGCUUAACCUGGGAACUGCUUACAAAACUGCUGAGCUAAAGUACGGUAGAAGGUAGUGGAAUUUCCUGUGUAGCGGUGAAAUGCGUAGAUAUAAGAAGGAACACCAAUGGCGAAGGCGGCUACCUGGACUGAUACUGACACUGAAGUGCGAAAGCGUGGGGAAGAAACA
RNAcentral lists this ribosomal RNA (422 nucleotides) under uncultured bacterium. Its description in RNAcentral is "partial 16S ribosomal RNA". It matches the Rfam family "Bacterial small subunit ribosomal RNA", at positions 360 to 774 of the family's 1533-position model. The record is from RNAcentral.